Molecule: ribosomal RNA, 459 nt
Filed under: uncultured bacterium
Lineage: Bacteria
Description: partial 16S ribosomal RNA
Rfam family: Bacterial small subunit ribosomal RNA
Source: RNAcentral
CCUAGGGGGGCAGCAGUGAGGAAUAUUGGUCAAUGGACGCAAGUCUGAACCAGCCAUGCCGCGUGCAGGAAGACGGCUCUAUGAGUUGUAAACUGCUUUUGUACGAGGGUAAAUCCAGAUACGUGUAUCGGGUUGAAAGUAUCGUACGAAUAAGGAUCGGCUAACUCCGUGCCAGCAGCCGCUGUAAUACGGAGGAUUCAAGCGUUAUCCGGAUUUAAUGGGGUUAAAGGGUGCGUAGGCGGUUCGAUAAGUUGGGGGUUAAAUCCCGGGGCUCAACUCCGGCACUGCCUCUGAUAAUGUCGGGCUAGAGUUUAGUUGCGGUAGGCGGAAUGUAUGGUGUAGCGGUGAAAUGCAGAGAGAUCAUACAGAACACCGAUUGCGAAGGCAGCUUACCAAACUACGACUGACGUUGGGGCACGAAAGCGUGGGGAGCAAACAGGAUUAGAUACCCUGGUAGUC